Molecule: ribosomal RNA, 468 nt
Filed under: uncultured bacterium
Lineage: Bacteria
Description: partial 16S ribosomal RNA
Rfam family: Bacterial small subunit ribosomal RNA
Source: RNAcentral
GACGAACGCUGGCGGCGUGCUUAACACAUGCAAGUCGAACGGAAAGGCCCUGCUUUUGUGGGGUGCUCGAGUGGCGAACGGGUGAGUAACACGUGAGUAACCUGCCCUUGACUUUGGGAUAACUUCAGGAAACUGGGGCUAAUACCGGAUAGGAGCUCCUGCUGCAUGGUGGGGGUUGGAAAGUUUCGGCGGUUGGGGAUGGACUCGCGGCUUAUCAGCUUGUUGGUGGGGUAGUGGCUUACCAAGGCUUUGACGGGUAGCCGGCCUGGGAGGGUGACCGGCCACAUUGGGACUGAGUUACGGCCCAGACUCCUACGGGAGGCAGCAGUGGGGAAUAUUGCACAAUGGGCGGAAGCCUGAUGCAGCAACGCCGCGUGCGGAAUAACGGCCUUCGGGUUGUAACCCGCUUUCGCCUGUGACGAAGCGUGAGUGACGGUAAUGGGUAAAGAAGCACCGGCUAACUACGUG